UCCGGUUUGUCACCGGCAGUCUGGCGUGAGUCCCCAACUUAAUGCUGGCAACACGCCACGGGGGUUGCGCUCGUUGCGGGACUUAACCCAACAUCUCACGACACGAGCUGACGACAGCCAUGCAGCAUCUGUGGUGCACCCUCGAAGGUCACACGUUUCCGUGCGCUUGCAGCACCAUGUCAAGUCCAGGUAAGGUGGGGAUGACGUUACUGUACCAUAGA
Molecule: unclassified non-coding RNA, 221 nt
Filed under: uncultured Rubrobacterales bacterium
Lineage: Bacteria; Bacillati; Actinomycetota; Rubrobacteria; Rubrobacterales
Description: contains 16S-23S intergenic spacer region
Source: RNAcentral